This is a long non-coding RNA of Lycium ferocissimum, 733 nucleotides long. RefSeq lists it as uncharacterized. The transcript is spliced from 4 exons. NCBI's taxonomy places the organism in Eukaryota, Viridiplantae, Streptophyta, Magnoliopsida, Solanales, Solanaceae. The record is from RefSeq and is a predicted model, not a curated record.
UACUACUUAUUAUCAUGAAUCUACAUUUACCAGAAGAAUCAAAAGUUAUUCAGUUUAAAUAUCAAAUCUAGAAUGGAAUAGCAUCAUCUGUGUUCCAAAUUUAAGAUUGCUUAAAGUUGAUUGCAACAUAUUAGGACAAAACCAGAAAGUAUUUUUCAGCUAAACAUCUUAAGUAAAAGCAAAAAAAAAAAAGAGACAGGUUGGGUUGUUUCAACUUGUCUGUCAAGGGCCAUGCCAACUGCCUUAGAUUCCUCAGAUUCUUCAAUGUCCCUCUGAUGGUACUGGGCGGUGGAGGUUAUACUAUAAGAAAUGUCACUAGGUGUUGGUGUUAUGAGACAGUAGUUGCAGUUGGGAUAUAACCUGAAAAUAAAUUACCUUACAACGAAUAUUAUGAGUAUUUUGGCCCAGAUUAUACUCUUCAUGUUGAACCACACCCCAUGGAGAAUCAAAAUUCACCUAGGGAUCUGGAGAAGAUCAGGAUCAAAGCGAAUCAGAUAUGAUCCUUCCCAUGUGCUCCUAAGGUUUGGUCCUGCCUACACUACCUAAAUUAUCGAGCUGUGGUAGCAGCCACUAAUGAUUGCAUUAGGUUAGGCAGUCAACAUCACACUUCUCGUGGGUGCGGGGACCUGCUAAUGUGGGACAGAUACUGUCUGUUAUUGACAAUAUCGACUUUGGAGGUAUAGAGGACAGGAAAAGGAAGAGGAUUACUUGGUUUGUGCGCUACUGUGCUAAA